RNAcentral lists this ribosomal RNA (301 nucleotides) under uncultured bacterium. Its description in RNAcentral is "partial 16S ribosomal RNA". It matches the Rfam family "Bacterial small subunit ribosomal RNA", at positions 509 to 807 of the family's 1533-position model. The record is from RNAcentral.
CAGUCGCCACGGUAACACGUAGGUGGCAAGCGUUGUCCGGAAUUAUUGGGCGUAAAGGGCUCGCAGGCGGUUUCUUAAGUCUGAUGUGAAAGCCCCCGGCUCAACCGGGGAGGGUCAUUGGAAACUGGGAAACUUGAGUGCAGAAGAGGAGAGUGGAAUUCCACGUGUAGCGGUGAAAUGCGUAGAGAUGUGGAGGAACACCAGUGGCGAAGGCGACUCUCUAGUCUGUAACUGACGCUGAGGAGCGAAAGCGUGGGGAGCGAACAGGAUUAGAUACCCGAGUAGUCCCUGUCUCUUAUAC